RNAcentral lists this ribosomal RNA (159 nucleotides) under Scedosporium boydii. RNAcentral describes it as "5.8S ribosomal RNA". The stretch from base 23 to 159 matches the Rfam family "5.8S ribosomal RNA", at positions 1 to 137 of the family's 154-position model. From Rfam's summary of the family: 5.8S ribosomal RNA (5.8S rRNA) is a component of the large subunit of the eukaryotic ribosome. It is transcribed by RNA polymerase I as part of the 45S precursor that also contains 18S and 28S rRNA. Lineage: Eukaryota; Fungi; Ascomycota; Sordariomycetes; Microascales; Microascaceae. The record is from RNAcentral.
GGAAAACAAAAAAACAAAUCAAAACUUUCAACAACGGAUCUCUUGGUUCUGGCAUCGAUGAAGAACGCAGCGAAAUGCGAUAAGUAAUGUGAAUUGCAGAAUUCAGUGAAUCAUCGAAUCUUUGAACGCACAUUGCGCCCGGCAGUAAUCUGCCGGGCA